CUACGGGCGGCAGCAGUGAGGAAUAUUGCACAAUGGGGGGAACCCUGAUGCAGCAACGCCGCGUGGAGGAUGACGCAUUUCGGUGUGUAAACUCCUUUUAUAUGCCAAGAAAAUGACGGUAGCAUAUGAAUAAGCACCGGCUAACUCCGUGCCAGCAGCCGCGGUAAUACGGAGGGUGCAAGCGUUACUCGGAAUCACUGGGCGUAAAGGACGCGUAGGCGGGUUGGAAAGUCAGGUGUGAAAUCCUACAGCUUAACUGUAGAACUGCACUUGAAACUUCUAAUCUAGAGUAUGGGAGGGGGAGAUGGAAUUAGUGGUGUAGGGGUAAAAUCCGUAGAUAUCACUAGGAAUACCUAAAGCGAAGGCGAUCUCCUGGAACAUACUGACGCUAAGGCGUGAAAGCGUGGGGAGCAAACAGGAUUAGAUACCCCAGUAGUC
This 438-nucleotide ribosomal RNA is filed under the name uncultured bacterium. RNAcentral describes it as "partial 16S ribosomal RNA". It matches the Rfam family "Bacterial small subunit ribosomal RNA", at positions 339 to 795 of the family's 1533-position model. The record is from RNAcentral.